This is a long non-coding RNA of Monopterus albus (swamp eel), 310 nucleotides long. RefSeq lists it as uncharacterized. Lineage: Eukaryota; Metazoa; Chordata; Actinopteri; Synbranchiformes; Synbranchidae. The record is from RefSeq and is a predicted model, not a curated record. The transcript has 3 exons.
UUUGUUUUUUUUUCACUUGUAUGUUGCAACAGGUUAGUGGGACUCUCUUCCUUCAACUCCAACUUAACAGCAGCAAUACACUUUUACUAGUAUUUACUAAAUAGACAUUUUUAAACAUGUUUCAGGCUCAGCCAGUCUCAAACUGUCAAACACGAUGACUCUCAGCAGCAGGUGUACUCCACCCUCCUCCAUGGUGAUGGUUGUGUCUAUGAAACAAUAAGGGGCUCUGAAGAUGCUGGAAAAGAUGCACCACCGAAUGUGUACGAUAACGUCCCAUCUCCAACUCAUCUCCGAGAUCCUGGCAAGCAAA